UUAAAGAAACCUGAAAGGAUUUGGUUUCGACCCAGAACGUGAUUUGCUCUCUUUUGA
This 57-nucleotide transfer RNA is filed under the name Crenobia alpina. RNAcentral's name for it is "tRNA-Arg". Lineage: Eukaryota; Metazoa; Platyhelminthes; Tricladida; Planariidae. The record is from RNAcentral.